GAAGAAGAACUAGAGAAGUAUUUAGAUAACUCUUUUUUAUGAUGAAAAAUGAUAACAUACGAGGAAAGGGAUAAUAAGAUCAGGCUGAGGUGUGAUGAGGAAAGAGAACUAAAGCCUUUUCUGGAAGUGAUGUCAGAAAAGCAAGUGAAAAAGGAAAACAGAUUUGAACUAUACUGGUAUAAAGCUAACAUAAAACAGACAUAAGUCAGAAGAGCAGAGUUGCAUCCAUGUGCACUGGCAGAGCCAGGCCAUACCUCCAAGUGGGAGGAGAUCUGCAGGAGUUUAUAAAGGCUGUUCAACGCUGCUUUUUCUCCCCUUUCCCAUCUAGGCCUCUCCUGCCAUUGACUGUGAAUUCAGAGGUUUAUGGGACAACUAGCACACUGUGGAGGAAACCAUGCAUACUCCCCAGUAUGGAGAUGGGACUCAGACACGGAAUCUCUGGAGCCAGCCAGCUCCUCCCCUGGCAUGUGCAAAGGACAGAUGGAUCCUGCUCGGUUUGGACUCCAGUUGUCACCCAGCAGCUGACUUGGAUGUGAUUUUCCCCUUAAACUCCUCCUGGACAAAAGGAUUAUUACUGAAGAUGUCAGCAGAGACACAGCAAGAUAAGGAAAAAGCCCAACAGAGUAGAACAUCCCCAAAUGGGAGAACAGCAAAAAACAGGAAGCUGUUCUCAGAAAAAUGCUUUGCUCAUUCAGAGAAUUCUGUUGCAUUAUUGGUUUUGUCAUAGACUUUGUUGGCUUUUGAUCAUUUAAUCAUUUGGUGCCUCUACUUCCUCCUUAAACUAGGAUUAUUCUUAGUAAUGGUGGUUAUUUAUAGCAGUGUUGGAGUCUGAAAAAAGUAAUGUUUUUCUGCUACUGCAACUGAAGAUUCUACACAGAGGGCUAACACCUUCCUUUCUGGUUUUCAACUGGCGCUCCAGUCUCCUUCACAAAAGAAGGAUGUGAACAGAAGAGACUAGAGAUAUUUGAAUGGCACCAAGAGCAACUUUCUGUGGAUUUUUUGAGUUCCUAAAUGAAUUGAUACAGGCUGCAAACACAGGCCUUUCAGGAUCGUUGUCAGCAAACACCAACAAGACAGAAACAUAAUUGUAUAUUCACCCACAAAAAAUUAGUUUGAAGAUUCUGUGUCCUUUCAUCUGGGGAACGUGAAUUUUAAAUUCACUUUUGGAAGUAUUUGUACUGGGUGAUUAAGGCUUACACUCCUUCAAAUAUGGAAUAGAAACACUACCUCUAAUUGUGUUAUAACUUCAUGGGUCUCUUGUGAAUAGCAAACUGCUGAUAAAAGCAGUCUUGUAAAAAUAUCAUCAAAUAAUUUUGGAUACCAAAGUGAUCUGUAGCAAUCAGAAUCUGCUAGUGGCUGUGUCUACAAAGAAUAAAGAGAAGACCAUCAGACA
RNAcentral lists this long non-coding RNA (1393 nucleotides) under Phasianus colchicus (ring-necked pheasant). RNAcentral's name for it is "lncRNA (ENSPCLG00000001320.1)". The record is from RNAcentral. Lineage: Eukaryota; Metazoa; Chordata; Aves; Galliformes; Phasianidae.